AACGAACGCUGGCGGCAUGCCUAACACAUGCAAGUCGAACGAGACCUUCGGGUCUAGUGGCGCACGGGUGCGUAACGCGUGGGAAUCUGCCCUUGGGUUCGGAAUAACAGUUAGAAAUGACUGCUAAUACCGGAUGAUGUCUUCGGACCAAAGAUUUAUCGCCCAGGGAUGAGCCCGCGUAGGAUUAGCUAGUUGGUGGGGUAAAGGCCUACCAAGGCGACGAUCCUUAGCUGGUCUGAGAGGAUGAUCAGCCACACUGGGACUGAGACACGGCCCAGACUCCUACGGGAGGCAGCAGUGGGGAAUAUUGGACAAUGGGCGAAAGCCUGAUCCAGCAAUGCCGCGUGAGUGAUGAAGGCCUUAGGGUUGUAAAGCUCUUUACCCGGGAUGAUAAUGACAGUACCGGGAGAAGUAAGCCCCGGCUAACUCCGUGCCAGCAGCCGCGGUAA
RNAcentral lists this ribosomal RNA (449 nucleotides) under uncultured bacterium. Its description in RNAcentral is "bacterial SSU rRNA". It matches the Rfam family "Bacterial small subunit ribosomal RNA", at positions 29 to 523 of the family's 1533-position model. The record is from RNAcentral.